GACGAACGCUGGCGGUGUGCUUAACACAUGCAAGUCGAACGGUAAGGCCCUUUCGGGGGUACACGAGUGGCGAACGGGUGAGUAACACGUGAGUAACCUGCCCUCAUCUCUGGGAUAACAGUCGGAAACGGUUGCUAAUACUGGAUAUGAGCUUGCAAGGCAUCUUGUGGGUUGGAAAGAUUUUUUUUGGUUGGGGAUGGACUCGCGGCCUAUCAGCUUGUUGGUGAGGUAGUGGCUCACCAAGGCUUCGACGGGUAGCCGGCCUGAGAGGGCGACCGGCCACAUUGGGACUGAGAUACGGCCCAAACUCCUACGGGAGGCAGCGGUGGGGAAUAUUGCACAAUGGACGGAAGUCUGAUGCAGCAACGCCGCGUGCGGGAUGACGGCCUUCGGGUUGUAAACCGCUUUCAAUUGUGACGAAGCUUUUUUGUGACGGUAGCAGUAGAAGAAGCACCGGCUAACUACGUG
This 468-nucleotide ribosomal RNA is filed under the name uncultured bacterium. RNAcentral's name for it is "partial 16S ribosomal RNA". It matches the Rfam family "Bacterial small subunit ribosomal RNA", at positions 28 to 507 of the family's 1533-position model. The record is from RNAcentral.